Molecule: ribosomal RNA, 254 nt
Filed under: uncultured bacterium
Lineage: Bacteria
Description: partial 16S ribosomal RNA
Rfam family: Bacterial small subunit ribosomal RNA
Source: RNAcentral
UACGUAGGGUCCGAGCGUUGUCCGGAAUUAUUGGGCGUAAAGAGCUCGUAGGCGGUUUGGUAAGUCUGGUGUGAAAUCUCCACGCUCAACGUGGAGGGGCCACCCGAUACUGCCAUGACUGGAGUCCGGUAGAGGAGUGUGGAAUUCCCGGUGUAGCGGUGAAAUGCGCAGAUAUCGGGAGGAACACCCGUAGCGAAGGCGGCACUCUGGGCCGGUACUGACGCUGAGGCACGAAGGCCAGGGGAGCAAACGGG